AGAGUUUGAUCCUGGCUCAGAACGAACGCUGGCGGCAGGCUUAACACAUGCAAGUCGAGCGCUCACUUCGGUGGGAGCGGCAGACGGGUGAGUAACGCGUGGGAAUCUACCCAACUCUACGGAAUAACUCAGGGAAACUUGUGCUAAUACCGUAUACGCCCUUCGGGGGAAAGAUUUAUCGGAGUUGGAUGAGCCCGCGUUGGAUUAGCUAGUUGGUGGGGUAAAGGCCUACCAAGGCGACGAUCCAUAGCUGGUCUGAGAGGAUGAUCAGCCACACUGGGACUGAGACACGGCCCAGACUCCUACGGGAGGCAGCAGUGGGGAAUAUUGGACAAUGGGCGCAAGCCUGAUCCAGCCAUGCCGCGUGUGUGAUGAAGGCCCUAGGGUUGUAAAGCACUUUCAACGGUGAAGAUAAUGACGGUAACCGUAGA
RNAcentral lists this ribosomal RNA (431 nucleotides) under uncultured Alphaproteobacteria bacterium. RNAcentral describes it as "bacterial SSU rRNA". It matches the Rfam family "Bacterial small subunit ribosomal RNA", at positions 8 to 485 of the family's 1533-position model. Lineage: Bacteria; Pseudomonadati; Pseudomonadota; Alphaproteobacteria. The record is from RNAcentral.